UAUUGCACUGGUCAGGAGAGGUCAUGCCGAAAAACAAAAUUCAUACAAGAAAGAAACUAGAAACAGACUUUUUCUUUUUUUCCUUCUUUUUUUGAAAACAAUAAAAUUGGAAAGUAAAACAGAAAGAGACCGAUAAUGAGAAAAGGAAGGUUGCUUUUGAUACCAACUUCAAGAUGUUUGGAUUAAAUCUUGCAGUAGAAUUGCUUUGGGUGAACAUUUGGAGGUAAAUUUACGUACAUAUUUACCUCUUCCAGAGUUUGAUCCCAUUGAAACAGUGUUUGCCCUACAUCACACAGAAACAACAAAAUUAAUUAUCAUUUCUAGAAAGUACAAUAAAGUGAAACUAUCAAACAAAAGAACAAAAUAGACAUCGUCAUGCACGAAAGAACGACGCUCUCUGAGCCAAUUUCUCAGCCAUUUUGAAUCUCUUCUCCUCUCUUAAUCGUGCUUAGCGUGGUUAGUUGUAUUUGCUUUCGCAACACUAAACUUGAAGAAUUAAUGGCCACUGACUGCGAAUUACAACUCGUUAUACGCACAGAAGAAUAGGGAUUAGCGAGGGUCAGUAAUUAAACAAAUACUUACUUUAUUUUCUAUCAAGUUUACAUUAAUGGUGUUGGACGGAUCCAGUCCAAGAAGUGGUAUUGGAUUCUUACCUUAUAAACUGGGAGUCUGGGUCCAUGUCUGUUUCUCUUUGCCUAUAAAAAGGCAGUACUAAAUCUACUUGCUCUGCCAAUCCCCAGAUAGAAAGAUGAGACCUAUCUCUAGUUUGUGUGUGAAUCUAAUUCAGGCCAUCCAUGUCAGGGCCCUACUAAUCCUAUCCCAUGGUGUUAGAUUCACGCACAAACUCGUGAUCUUUCUCCUCUAUAGACACUUUACUUGUAUUUCUAAUUUUACGAAAUUAGAACAGAGACGAAAGAUGAGAUGGCUAAUAUCGGAACUGGAGAGGCAUCAACACAGUACGACGACGGCGAUAGAUGAUUACUACACGUUGAUUUCUACGACUGAUGAGAAAGCUGCACCAGAGAUUCUUCUUCACUAUGAACUGAAGCUUCUUUGGUUCAGAUAAGAUAGAAUUGGAGAUUAAGGACUGACUAUGUAUUGUACGUUAAUGAUGGAAUCCGGCUUUCAGAACAGGAGCCAGCGCCUGCAUGCUUAUAGGUGGGAAGAUGCCACAUUAGCGAAAACCACUCAAAGAAUUCAUAACGGGUGAAGAGCAUGACAUGGGUAAUGUUCAACCUUCUGCUGUCACUUAUGUGUGUAAAGGGUUUUAGCAUUGACAGCUGUACUGAGUGAGGCUAAUGCGUGAUGAUGAUCCAGUCAGACCAAUGCCUGAAAUAAGCUUGUUAAGCCAAUCCUAGGAUAGGAGUCCCGCUUCUGUGUAUAAUGAUGAUUCCAUAGAUACACAAGCCAAUCAAAUUGUGGACUAUGAUAAACUAUUCAGGACCCUAGUAGGAAGAAUUUUGUGUUUCAUUCGAUUUGAAUGCUUUGAAAUACAUUGCGCCUUAGUAGCUAGCUAUCAUCUGAGUUUAGUAUGAUCUGCCACGAAUUUGGGAUAUUCAUCUUCAAGAGAUUGUCUUUCUGGGCCAACUUUAUUGUAACUGUAAAUUUCAAUUUCUUAUGAAAAGGGAAGGAGCUUGAGCAUAUUCGACCUUUA
Ricinus communis (castor bean) is the source of this 1654-nucleotide long non-coding RNA. RefSeq lists it as uncharacterized. The transcript is spliced from 2 exons. Lineage: Eukaryota; Viridiplantae; Streptophyta; Magnoliopsida; Malpighiales; Euphorbiaceae. The record is from RefSeq and is a predicted model, not a curated record.